UACGGGGGGGGCAAGCGUUGUUCGGAAUUACUGGGCGUAAAGGGCUCGUAGGCGGCCAACUAAGUCAGACGUGAAAUCCCUCGGCUUAACCGGGGAACUGCGUCUGAUACUGGAUGGCUUGAGUAGAGUUGAAGUGGGCGGAAUUGACGGUGUAGCGGUGAAAUGCUUAGAUAUCGUCAAGAACACCGAUAGUGAAGACAGCUCACUAAGCUCAAACUGACGCUGAGGCACGAAAGUGUGGGGAUCAAACAGG
RNAcentral lists this ribosomal RNA (253 nucleotides) under uncultured bacterium. RNAcentral describes it as "partial 16S ribosomal RNA". It matches the Rfam family "Bacterial small subunit ribosomal RNA", at positions 524 to 776 of the family's 1533-position model. The record is from RNAcentral.